CCUACGGGAGGCAGCAGUGGGGAAUAUUGGACAAUGGGGGGAACCCUGAUCCAGCCAUGCCGCGUGUGUGAAGAAGGCCCUCGGGUUGUAAAGCACUUUCAGUGAGGAAGAACGCCUGGUGGUUAAUACCCUUCAGGAAAGACAUCACUCACAGAAGAAGCACCGGCUAACUCCGUGCCAGCAGCCGCGGUAAUACGGAGGGUGCGAGCGUUAAUCGGAAUUACUGGGCGUAAAGCGCGCGUAGGUGGCUUGAUAAGCCGGUUGUGAAAGCCCCGGGCUCAACCUGGGAACGGCAUCCGGAACUGUCAAGCUAGAGUGCAGGAGAGGAAGGUAGAAUUCCCGGUGUAGCGGUGAAAUGCGUAGAGAUCGGGAGGAAUACCAGUGGCGAAGGCGGCCUUCUGGACUGACACUGACACUGAGGUGCGAAAGCGUGGGUAGCAAACAGGAUUAGAUACCCUGGUAGUC
RNAcentral lists this ribosomal RNA (465 nucleotides) under Vreelandella stevensii. RNAcentral describes it as "partial 16S ribosomal RNA". It matches the Rfam family "Bacterial small subunit ribosomal RNA", at positions 338 to 795 of the family's 1533-position model. The record is from RNAcentral. Lineage: Bacteria; Pseudomonadati; Pseudomonadota; Gammaproteobacteria; Oceanospirillales; Halomonadaceae.